AGGUACCUAUAUUCUGCACGGGCUUCUGGGCAGGCAGCACUAACACUCAGGAGAAGGUCUGCCUCUGUCUGCGCCUUCCUGGUUCAAUGCAGGCAGAUGAGUGUCACAGAUGUAACUGAGGCACUGAAUAAUCAACAUAUCGGAGCCAAUUCCCAGGACGGCAAGAGGGGGAACCGGCAGAGAUGACUGACCCUGGAGGACAAGAGCAUUCUUCUGACAAGUUUUAGCAUGGACUAUCCUCAGGAAAAUGAGAUCCAGGAAGAGUGACGCCCUCCUCGAACUGAAAGAUACUCAGGUUGAUGGAGUCAGGGACGAAGUGGCUUAUCAACAACACAGGAUGUCUGCAGGGAACAGAACUUAUUCAGACAUGGCCCAGAUUGUCUGCCCGUGGGGACUGAGGGACCUCUGAGGGUUACAUCAGGAAGGAAGGAGAGGCUGUUUCUACAGGUGCCACAGAAAAAUCGAUGCUGAGCCUCGGAUUAUUGGAUCCCAUAGAACCGUGGAGACUUGGCAGUGAAAUUCUUCCAAAGGCAGGCAGAGGUUUUCCUGGUUUGGGAAGUAUAAAUCCCGUGGGAAGUCAACUGGAGGACAUUUUACGCGUCACUCAUCCUAUUAUGAGCCUGCUGCUCCUCCGUCUCUUGACAAGGCCACCAACUAGAAGGGCACAGAAUUGUUCAUAAAACAGCUGAAUGUGAAUGUCUUUGGAUUCCCAUUUAAUGAGGGUGUCUUAAUGAGAUGACUGAAGAGUACAACCGCCAAGGCUGAGAUGAUGCAAAGGCUACGUGUGGGUACAGUUCCCGGUGCCUGUGCACACCAUUCAUUGGCAGCUAAAGGACAGGAGCAGCAAUAAGGCUUCCUGGCUACAUUUUCAUGGUGCCACCAACUGCGAGUUAAGCUGACAAACAUUUUGAGAGCUCGGCCCAUUUCAUUCCCAGCAGGAUGGCAGGAGUUAACUAAAACAGAAUAAACUAAAAAUUGUGCCUUCAUUGCACAUUUGCACUGAUUAUCAGCACUGAAAAUGGCUAAGUUCUGCUUAUCAAGAGCGGGUGACUGAUUGUCCCUGCCAGCUGGCUAAUAUCAUAAUUAGCAAAGUUGCUACCACAUCUGCAAAGUUUAAUCGAAAAAUUUACCAGUGGUAUGAUGGCAUUGUCACCGCGAUCCUGAGGGAAUCAGAGUCGACUUCUGCUUCAACUGGAAUGGCAAGGCUGUAGAGCUGAGAUGAGAAACUGUAAACUUGCUCAGCCAAAGGUUAUGCUUCACAUCACCCACCAGGGAGGAUCAUCUCUCAUGAAAACUUUCAAAUUUGAUUUUGAAAAUUUAUUCAGAAAAAUUUAAGCCACGCUCUUUCCCAACACAGGAAAUAAUAUGCUCCAGAGAAUCCUCUAAUUCACCGAAAAUGGACUUGGAUAACAUUUGGGUUCUCAUACUACCACAGUCCUCUUGAGAAGGACAGCCAGGCUUGGGUGGCAGUGGUGAGGAAGGUUCCUUUCUGUCAAGGGAGCUGAUGCCUUAAAGAAGCUAUCUCCAGAUAAAGGGAGAUCUAAGGAAGGAAGCCAACGAAAGACACCAUGUACCAGAAAGCCAAGCAGGAUUUUGACAUUUAUAACCAUAAUCUCUAUAAACAAGAUGAAUUAUGGCUGGGGAUUCAGUUAGUAAAUCAACGAAAAUAAAUCCUGGUAAGGUAAUGAUACAAUUUUAUCAUUUUUUGUUGAAAUCUAACAGUGUAUAGUAUGCUUUGCUGCAAUCAAAGACCUGCAGUAUUUUGUGUGCUAAACUCCAAUGACCCAUCAUUUAUUUUCUCUUUAUUCCACCUACUUACCUGUGAUAAUAACCAAAUAGCCUCACAUUUCCCCUUUCAAAGUUGUAUCUCAAGAGGAAAGCUCACUGACCCCACACAUUAGCCCUCCAGUAGCUCCAGCUGAGAAGUACUCUCUCCUCCAUUUUUUUCAGUGCAUAAUUCAAAGAUAACCCAAAUAAGAACAGAAAGUUGUGUGUCAUAGUCACUGGCAUCUAUCCGGUGCUUCUGAACCAUGAACCACAUGACCUGAUUAAAGAGGUUGCUGUGAGUGUGUUGUACUCUUCGUGAACUAAAUUCCAUGAUGACAGAAAACAAACCUGAAAACAAGAGUUAUUUCACAACUCUAGAGCUCCACAGAGUCGGCUGCAAUUGGUUGAGUUGAGGUGAAUUUUCAGUGGACCUGGAUCAGUGUAGAAGGGCAGGAACAUUGGCCCAGCACAGCCCCAGGCUGUGCAGCAUUCAAUGUGACUUGGGACUGGCCUUCCUGGCUCUGCCUUGCCGGUGAAACAUGGAUUGGAAGCUUUGAAUGUUGGAAGAAAUAAACAAGUCUUGGUUGGAGUCCCAGUUUCAAUAACCACAUAUUUUCAAACCUAGACAAAUAUUCUGGUCUCAUCUCCUCAUUUGGAUUACUUCAAUCCUCGGAGAGAACGGAAUAGGACUCUGUAUUUCUUUGGAUGUUCAACACAGUGUUUAACUAAUGGGUGCUAUUUGAAAUAUUAUCGUCUAUUAUCAUUGCUAUUCUAAUAAGGAUGAUACUUGCUAUAAAUAUUAUUGAGAAAAAAAACUUGGAAGUGUUCUUGAGCAACAUAAACAGUACAAAAUGACAGAUAUUAAACACCGUUCUUUUUUGCACGUAAAACUAUACAAAUAAAAAUAUAGAAAAGCUUGC
RNAcentral lists this long non-coding RNA (2687 nucleotides) under Mus musculus (house mouse). Lineage: Eukaryota; Metazoa; Chordata; Mammalia; Rodentia; Muridae. The record is from RNAcentral.